This is a non-coding RNA of Paramuricea clavata, 733 nucleotides long. Lineage: Eukaryota; Metazoa; Cnidaria; Anthozoa; Malacalcyonacea; Plexauridae. The record is from the annotation of a GenBank genome assembly.
GAGUCGUUAGUCUGGGGUCGGUUUGACUCUUCUGAAAUUACAGCGCGGUCAGCGGUUGUUAUUGUACAGGGUGUAUUUUACUCACGUUCAAAAGUUGGGCCAACUCCAAAUGUCAACUUUGCGCCCAAAUAACCCGCUUUGCUAACAUUAGAUAUGCGUCAAAACUUCCUUCACAAACAGGACGUUAUGAACACACGUCUCAAAAUUAACCAGGGAUUACAAAGAUUUCUCAGUGACGCGGAAAGAACAGUUUCUACGAAUGUUCGGGACGGAUCAGCCUAUAUAGCUUCCUUGUUCCGCAUUUUUUGUCCUCUUUCGACUUCCUUAACUUUAAGCAUGCAGCCUGAACAUUGGACAAAUAUGAGGAAUAUAUACGAAUAAGGAAAUACAAGCAUAACAUGCAUCAGACCCAAAUUUACAUAAACUUAAUAAGCCCAGCUUUGUCUUUAAUUUAGUUUAUGAGAAAAUAUAAAACACACUAUAGAACUGGUCACGAUAAUAUGGUCUCUACCUGUCGUAAUUUUGUAAUAGCAUGGAAAUACAACCAUUUGAUAAAUUUGGACUUCUUGUAUAUAUGAAAUUAAAGUUGAUGUUUUUAGUUUUAAUUUUAAGAUGUCUUCAUGUUUUGUCAGUCUUGCGCCAAAUUUACAUAGAGGCAUAAAAGGUCAUAUUAUAAAUUUAACUCUUGAUGCACUUAAGUUAAGACGCGCAUUAUGCUGUCGUUUUCUCUGAC